GUUACAACAUUGCGACUAGAGCACUAGCUGGGAAGUAAAUGUCCACAACAUACGGCGUUUGGCCGUUUCAAUGUGGUGAAUCGUAUGGUAUGAUAGACGUCAGGUCGUUAGCAUUACGCCAAUGCUACAUGAGCAUCCAUAAGUCUACAGGGCGUCAUAUUCGUUGACAGUACCAACUGCACGUCGUUAUAGGGCGGAAAUACGGGGAACCGUUCGCACCGGUCACGUAAUAUGUCAUCAGUACGUUCUAUUUCCGGGCAUAGUCUGCUCGGCGGGCAUAGUCUGCUCGGUGUUGACAGAACCCUACUUCCGGGCUUGAUACAGCUCGGGUAUCGCAGUCUUCUUACGGGCAUAGUCUGCUCGGGUAUCUACAGUCUACUUUCGGGCUUGAUACAGCUCGGGUAACUACAGUCUACUUCCGGGCUUGAUACAGCUCGGGUAUCUACGGUCUACUUCCGGGCAUGAUACAGUUCGGGUUAUUUGCACUCUACUUUCGGGAUUGAUACAGCUAGAAGUUUGCUACUUCGCAGAACACUACGACCGGUGCUUAGUUCCGGUUCUGGUUAUUUACGGCUGGACAUAGGUUCAGGUCGUGACCCUCAAUAUUGGACGUCAUCGGAAUUUUAACUUGCCAUUAACCUUUGAUAAUUUGCUGUUUAUUGCUUUUCAUAGUUAAAUCGUAUUGUAAAUAGUUUAUUUUAAUUUGGCAAAUACAUUUAUUUAUUGUU
Dreissena polymorpha is the source of this 728-nucleotide long non-coding RNA. RefSeq lists it as uncharacterized. The transcript is spliced from 2 exons. The record is from RefSeq and is a predicted model, not a curated record. Lineage: Eukaryota; Metazoa; Mollusca; Bivalvia; Myida; Dreissenidae.